CCCGGGGUAGUGUAGCUGUUAGCACGGCGGUGCGCUCGGAGUAAACCCAUCCGCACACAGCGCAGGUCUGGGCUCGAGUCCUGGGCCCGGGG
Aspergillus saccharolyticus JOP 1030-1 is the source of this 92-nucleotide non-coding RNA. The record is from the annotation of a RefSeq genome assembly. Lineage: Eukaryota; Fungi; Ascomycota; Eurotiomycetes; Eurotiales; Aspergillaceae.